GAUGAACGCUGGCGGCGUGCCUAAUACAUGCAAGUCGAGCGAACGGACGAGAAGCUUGCUUUUCUGAUGUUAGCGGCGGACGGGUGAGUAACACGUGGAUAACCUUCCUAUAAGACUGGGAUAACUUCGGGAAACCGGAGCUAAUACCGGAUAAUAUUUUGAACCGCAUGGUUCAAAAGUGAAAGACGGUCUUGCUGUCACUUAUAGAUGGAUCCGCGCUGCAUUAGCUAGUUGGUAAGGUAACGGCUUACCAAGGCAACGAUGCAUAGCCGACCUGAGAGGGUGAUCGGCCACACUGGAACUGAGACACGGUCCAGACUCCUACGGGAGGCAGCAGUAGGGAAUCUUCCGCAAUGGGCGAAAGCCUGACGGAGCAACGCCGCGUGAGUGAUGAAGGUCUUCGGUUCGUAAAACUCUGUUAUUAGGGAAGAACAUAUGUGUAAGUAACUGUGCACAUCUUGACGGUACCUAAUCAGAAAGCCACGGCUAACUACGUG
Molecule: ribosomal RNA, 497 nt
Filed under: uncultured bacterium
Lineage: Bacteria
Description: partial 16S ribosomal RNA
Rfam family: Bacterial small subunit ribosomal RNA
Source: RNAcentral